UCCCUGAUGGUCCAGUGCCUAAGACUCUGCACUCUCAAUGCAGGUGGCAUGGGUUCAAUCCCCGGUCAGGGAA
This 73-nucleotide transfer RNA is filed under the name Bos taurus (domestic cattle). It matches the Rfam family "tRNA". From Rfam's summary of the family: Transfer RNA (tRNA) molecules are approximately 80 nucleotides in length. RNAcentral also lists the same sequence under 2 other names. The record is from Rfam by way of RNAcentral. Lineage: Eukaryota; Metazoa; Chordata; Mammalia; Artiodactyla; Bovidae.